This 68-nucleotide transfer RNA is filed under the name bovine gut metagenome. It matches the Rfam family "tRNA". Rfam says of the family: Transfer RNA (tRNA) molecules are approximately 80 nucleotides in length. Their secondary structure includes four short double-helical elements and three loops (D, anti-codon, and T loops). The record is from RNAcentral.
GGCAUUAGCUCAGUCGGUAGAGCACUUGACUUUUAAUCAAGUUGUCGCGGGUUCGAUUCCCGCAUGCC